Molecule: long non-coding RNA, 489 nt
Organism: Lucilia sericata (common green bottle fly)
Lineage: Eukaryota; Metazoa; Arthropoda; Insecta; Diptera; Calliphoridae
Exons: 3
Source: RefSeq, a predicted model, not a curated record
CCUUGGAAUAUCUCUCAGAGGUUACAAACUUCUGUUUUCAAAUCCUGCAGCGAUGAGGAUACGGUAGCGGCGGCACUUGAGACCGGAAACUCCACCAUCUGGCUCCUUAGCUGCUAUAUGGCGCAUGACCAUGGUGAACAACCGCCAAACGACCUGGUCAGAGAUCUAAUGCGCGAAGCAAAUAGGCGUCACGUUCCUGUGAUAAUUGGCGCUGAUGCAAAUGCUCAUCACAGUGUCUGGGGCAGUUCAGACACCAACAGUAGAGAGGUUCAGAACCUACUUUUGUUGUGACAAACAGAAAGGAAGUUCUGGAUAUUACAGCUAUUAGUACAAACUACAUAGAAUUGAUCAAAGAUUGGAAUGUCUCCAAUGACUGCUCCUUCUCUGAUCACCGCUACCUGGACUUUGACAUAGUGGUCCAGGUCAAAGUUUCAAAACCCUUUCUAAAUAGAAGGAAAACAAAUUGGGAGAGGCACAAAGCUUCUCUGA